UACGGGAGGCAGCAGUGGGGAAUAUUGCACAAUGGGCGCAAGCCUGAUGCAGCCAUGCCGCGUGUAUGAAGAAGGCCUUCGGGUUGUAAAGUACUUUCAGUCGUGAGGAAGGUGUUAAGGUUAAUAACCUUAGCAAUUGACGUUAGCGACAGAAGAAGCACCGGCUAACUCCGUGCCAGCAGCCGCGGUAAUACGGAGGGUGCGAGCAUUAAUCGGAAUUACUGGGCGUAAAGGGCACGCAGGCGGUUAAUUAAGUUGGAUGUGAAAUCCCCGGGCUUAACCUGGGAAUGGCAUUCAAGACUGGUUAGCUAGAGUCUUGUAGAGGGGGUAGAAUUCCAUGUGUAGCGGUGAAAUGCGUAGAGAUGUGGAGGAAUACCGGUGGCGAAGGCGGCCCCUGGACAAAGGCUGACGCUCAUGUGCGAAAGCGUGGGGAGCAAACAGGGAUUAGAUACC
This 453-nucleotide ribosomal RNA is filed under the name uncultured bacterium. RNAcentral describes it as "bacterial SSU rRNA". It matches the Rfam family "Bacterial small subunit ribosomal RNA", at positions 340 to 786 of the family's 1533-position model. The record is from RNAcentral.